CGGCACCGGCACCGCGGACACCUCGCAGCACCGCAGCCGCCCUGCUACCCAGAACCGUGUCCUGGUUUAGACACCACGGCUGUCGGGAGCACAAGUCCCAGCUAUUAUUUUUCUCUAACCAUCUCUUUCCCAUUUGUACCAGCUCAUUUGCCACAGGAAGGUUGAGAGGAGCACUCCCUAAUGCAAUCUUCAUGAACACAAAGACUACAUUAUUUUAUGGCCAAGCCAUCAGCUUGAGAACAAAGGAAAAAAGCUGCUUCCCAGAAAUUUAACAAGAUGUGUGGCCUCCAUUAAAAAUGCUUAAAAAAUGGCACAACUAAAUGAAAUUAUUUUCUGCAGAGA
Long non-coding RNA from Passer domesticus (house sparrow), 342 nucleotides. RefSeq lists it as uncharacterized. The record is from RefSeq and is a predicted model, not a curated record. The transcript has 2 exons. Lineage: Eukaryota; Metazoa; Chordata; Aves; Passeriformes; Passeridae.